This is a long non-coding RNA of Chiroxiphia lanceolata (lance-tailed manakin), 2063 nucleotides long. RefSeq lists it as uncharacterized. Lineage: Eukaryota; Metazoa; Chordata; Aves; Passeriformes; Pipridae. The transcript is spliced from 4 exons. The record is from RefSeq and is a predicted model, not a curated record.
GCGGGUUCAGGAAUACGUGGAGGGUCUGAGGAAGGCGGGUUCAGGAAUACGUGGAGGGUCUAAGGAAGGCGGGCUCGGGAAUCCAUGAAGGGUCUAAGGAAGGCGGGCUCGAGGGUCCGUGAGGGCAGGGAAAAAGGGUAGGAAGGAGCAGCCCCCUGAGGCGUCGCCGCCUGCCCGGGGUCGGUUGCAGCCCCUCAGGUCCGAGCGGGGUGAAGCUGCUGAAGCCUUCCCCGCUCCGGCGGGUCCGUGCAUGUUAAUCCCUUCCCAAUUACAAGGGAGCGAGAAUCCCCAGGAUUUUUACCUAUUUACUGCAGUCAGUGUAACACAUGGACGGAAAACCGAGGCACUGAGACCCUGUUGAGCACUGGGCCCUCAGCCUUUCCUAGAUGAAGUUUGAACCUGAAGCAUCUUUUUUUUCGUUAUUGCCAACUUUUCUGCACCUGGUUUUUUCGUUACACCACAAAAUGGUAUCUUUGUGAAAGAUAUUCAUCUUUUCCCUCGAGGAAACAGUCAGAUUAGCUGUGAAUGCAUCGGAGGGUCACCAGCCCCAGCUUGGCUUGUUUGAUCAGUUAUAUACACCUAAAAGGGAACAGGAUUUUUAAAAGCUGUGAUUUGGAAGGGGAUAAACAAACUGAGAGCUGCAUCAGCAGGUUUUUAGCCCAGGAUGAGCAGGCACUAAUAAUAAGACCUGAACAGGGCAGCAGGGUUGAGUCAGCGAGUGAAAGAAUCCCAUAAAAGCUGGACAACAGGAUGUUCUAAGAUGGAACUAAACUGGUCUGUAUGAGCAAUUAGGACAUAGUUUCAUACACACUGCAAAUAAUCACACAGCAAUAAAAUUGAUCCAAGCUUUGAAAUGGGUAUGUGAGGCAGAGUGGAGUCUCCAGGGAUUACUCACCUUCUGGGAUUUGACUCCAGGCUGGUUUCCUCUGCCAAACUCAGCCUAAUUAUUGAGGAGGAAGCAGCUAUGGCACAGUGUGGGACCUCACACUACACAUACAAGAUACAGGCAACACUUUCACAGACAGUCCACCCAGGAGCUGAUCUGCUGAAACAGGGACUCGAGAGCUCGCUCAGAUGGUGCUCAAAGGGCAAAGAUUUCAAAGCAACAAUCAGAGUGGCUCAGCAGAGGAAGGGCUGGUGGUGCUUGGAACAGCCUUCACAGGGACAUGGCUGGGAGAGUUACCAUGGGAACGGGGAGGAAAGGAGUUACACCGUCUUUGUGAUGUGCAAACCCUACUUUCUACGGACUGACGGACUGACUCGUGCUGCAGAACUGUAAAAAGGUUGAUUUUUUUUUCCUUAUAAAACAAAAAGUGUAAAAAGAGUAGAAAAUUUUCAGAUGAAAACACACAGUGCCUUUUCAGGAGUCAGUCAAAUGUCCCUUUCCAUGCUGCCAAUUCUACAGUUUUCAGAAGGAGGCAAUUAUUGCCUCCCAAACUCACUCAUAUUUUUAUAGUAAUGAAAGUAUAAAUAGAAUCUCAUAGUUUGCACAUCCCCUCAGCCUCCUAAUUUGACACCCUUUGUCUAGCACUGUUUGCACAGAAAACAGCUGCAUGGGUGCUGUGGGGAGGGGAGGAGAUCAGAGGUAUCCUGACACAAUUACCUUCACUGUUACAUCAUCCUGGAAUCCCCACAGCACCCUCACAGCUGGGAUCUGCUCUGUAUGGAACCCCCUUCACACAGCCCUAACUUUUUGGGAAAAGCCAUGCAAUUUGGACAUCCUGGGAGAGGAGAUUAGGACCAGGCAUGACUAAAGCCUGGCCACUGCCUGAGCUCUACAUGGAACUAGGCCUGUUCUUGUUGUAUAAUAACAGUGGAUUUGAUGAACUGCAGAUAGUUUGGCACUGCUUGACACAAAUCCCAUUACUGCAGUUUAACCACAGGAUCCAAACCAGCAUCUCAUCUGUACAGAGAUGAGAGAGGUCUGCACACAGGUGUUUAGCUCCAUAAAACUGAGACCAGUCUUAAAAUAAUUAAUGCUGUCUUAUGCCAAAUAGCAAAUGAAAUAUUAGCAAAAUCUCCCCACAAAGACUUAAGAUGGGAAAAUAAAGUAAAAUGGCCUU